AGGACGAACGCUGGCGGCGUGCUUAACACAUGCAAGUCGAGCGGAAAGGCCCUUUCGGGGGUACUCGAGCGGCGAACGGGUGAGUAACACGUGAGUAAUCUGCCCUCCACUCUGGGAUAACGUUCAGAAAUGGGUGCUAAUACCGGAUGUUCACUGGGUCCUGCAGUGGGGUUUGGUGGAAAGGUUUUUCUGGUGGGGGAUGUGCUCGCGGCCUAUCAGCUUGUUGGUGGGGUAAUGGCCUACCAAGGCUUUGACGGGUAGCCGGCCUGAGAGGGUGACCGGCCACACUGGGACUG
RNAcentral lists this ribosomal RNA (296 nucleotides) under uncultured soil bacterium. RNAcentral's name for it is "partial 16S ribosomal RNA". It matches the Rfam family "Bacterial small subunit ribosomal RNA", at positions 26 to 321 of the family's 1533-position model. The record is from RNAcentral.